This 1842-nucleotide long non-coding RNA is filed under the name Homo sapiens (human). Its description in RNAcentral is "HSALNT0112710". Lineage: Eukaryota; Metazoa; Chordata; Mammalia; Primates; Hominidae. The record is from RNAcentral.
CCAGCUUCCUCCUCUUCCUCCUCCAGCUCCAACUGCAGUGGCAAGGUCUGGGGAUUGAGAGGCCCGGCAUGACUAAGAGAUAUCGUGAAAUUACAACUCAACAAUGAAUUACAGCACAGGCUUUUCACAACUAAGAGACUGUCCAUCAUGGUGCCAGUUUUUCUCAAAAUGGCAUGUGUGCAUGAAAUUCUACAGGCAUAUGGGGUCGUGAUCUGCUAAUCUCCAGUUAUUAUAACUACUUUGAAAAGGGACUUUCCAGCUAUCAGUACACUAUCUCACAAUUACCCUUGAACCAGAAGACAAUGAAUGAUUUGCUAAACAGAUGGCAUAGUCUAUGACAUGCAUCAUAUGUGUGAGCAAUCACAGAAGACUCCUUCCUGUUGCCUUGUGAAGAAGGCUCCUGCUUCCCCUUCACCUUCUGCGCGAUUGUAAGUUUCCUGAGGCCUCCUAGCCAUGCUUCUUGUUCACUCUGCGGAACUGUCCUGAGCUGAAAAGAAUAUGAGAAAUCGGAUUUUACGACAUACCAAAUUAUGAUUGUAUGUCCCAGAAAUUCACUUAGAAGCUAAUAGAAAAAAUGAAACCAAAGCCUUUUGAGAGUUGAAAAUUUAUCAUGACAUAUGCUGGCUGCACAGUCAAAACUUAUCACUGCCCACGACUUCGGAAGCAUGACAGGAGAGCUGUGGGAGCCACUUCCUCGUCAGACGUGGUUUGAUAUGUCAAGUGAGAACCUGAGUAAAGCAAAGAGGUGAACUAUGACUUGGAAUCCUCCAGGCUUUGGCUUCCAUCACACUCCAUGAACUUGAUGCACAUAAUUUAAUGUAGGCCUCCACCCAAUAUCAUCAGUUCUCUUGCAUGUUGAACCCCCAGUUUCCUGGAUCUGACCAACAUGACCUUAAUGUUCCUAUCAGCUCGACUAAACUUUAAAGAGAUUUCUUCCUCAAUAUGGGCCUCUAACUUCCCUUUUCUUAGAGCAUUUACUUUAGAAAUUUUGCAAUUAUCAAUUUUUUCUCCCUAUUUUUGAGAUGUAAAUUUUCUACAACUCAGGAAUGUCUUUCUCAAGGACAUGAGAGAUAUCCCUUUGAAAUGUAAUUGUGAAAAAUGAUAGCACCUCUAUUUCAAUCUGUGUAGGAGAGUAGGAGCCUAACUCAGGUAAGUGACAUUUAGCAAACUCAGAUGGCCUAAACACAUUCACCAACUUCCCCACUAAUGUACUCCCUACUGGUUCAUGUCAGCAUUUAAUAAUCCUUCUGCUUUCUUUUCAGUGGAGCUGAGUUCAGUCUGUCUCUCUUCUGCAGUGGUCUUCUCUCCCAUUGCAAUGGUCUUGAGUAAAGUGUUCUUUGUUUGUUUUACUUGGAGAUGAUGUCAGUUCAAUAUUGAAGUCUCUCUUCCCUACUACAGUAGUUCAAAUAAAAUCCAUCUUGCCAUUCUUAACAAGUAUUGGUAUAAUUUCUCUUUAACAUUUCUCGUGUCUUUCUCUUAAUUGGUUUCUUCUCUUGUUUUACAGAGCAUGUUAGUCACUAGUUUCUUAAGUCUGAUGAAUGUGCUUUCAUUACAUUUUUAUAUUAAUUGACUGAUAUUUUGGAUGGACACAUUUAUACUGCUUGGUUAAAUACGAUUUUCUCUCAGAAUCAUGUGGAAAUUUCUCCGUUAUUUUCUAGUUUCUGUUUUUGCAGUUGAGAAGUCCAAUAUCAUUUUGCUUCCCUACAUUUUUAAAAAAUGUAACCUGUUUCCAUUCUUUCUUUCUUUUGGUAUUUUGCAUCUGUUUUUAAAAAAGCAAUGAUAUAGUUCCAAAACCAUUGAAGAGUAUAAAGGAUAUUAUAAUAACGUCAUUAUACCCACCAC